AGCCUCAUUCUGGAUUAGAAUGGGCACUGUUGAUCGGUGUUCAGAAUUGGUCCAUGUGGCUAAAAUUGAGACACAGUUCAUGCUUCCAUCACAGUAAAUAUUUACAGUGGUGACAAUGAGGCUUGUAACAUUU
This 133-nucleotide small nucleolar RNA is filed under the name Octodon degus (degu). RNAcentral's name for it is "Small nucleolar RNA SNORA1 (ENSODEG00000020647.1)". It matches the Rfam family "Small nucleolar RNA SNORA1". From Rfam's summary of the family: ACA1 is a member of the H/ACA class of snoRNA that guide the sites of modification of uridines to pseudouridines. The record is from Rfam by way of RNAcentral. Lineage: Eukaryota; Metazoa; Chordata; Mammalia; Rodentia; Octodontidae.